UUCCCAACCCAGAGAUCGGACCCAGAUCUUCUGCGUUGCAGGUCAUUGGGUUCAGAGAAUGACAGUUCAUGAUUAUCUACCUUUUAAGCUUUUGGAAUUAUGCCAAAGCCUCUGGUGACUGGUGUAGGCAAUGAGACUAAAAUGACCUUCUCUCCAAUGACUGCCUCCAACCAGGCCUUCUCCUGAAAGCUGGAGACCAAUUAUUUCACCGGUGGAGGGGUGGGGAGAGAAUUUCUCGCCAUCAACUUCUCCAAGCCUUAGAGAUUUUAAGAGGUCAGAUGUCUGGCAACAAAUGACAGUACAGUGGUCUUAAAGAAAAACAUUAGAAUUUCAUGUCAAGCAAGCUGGAGACAGAGAAGCAGCCCUUUAAUCAGACAGGAAAACUGGGAGGAAGAUACUGUAAUCUAAAGUUUUGAAGUAUAAUGGGGCUCUACCAUUGGAAAUUGUUUUUAUUGACAAGUUUGCAUUGAUGCAACCUAGUUUAAAACCAACUGAGACGACCAAAGUGAGCAGUGAGUCCAAGUGACAUUGUUGAUAAGACUUGGUAUAUGAACACGGGAGACAAUUUAUCUAGGCUGGUGAAGUCUGUACUACCUGCAUCACCACUGUAGCCUGUUCAGAGCAACACACAGGACCCCUAAGGACUCUACAUAUGUGAUAUAUGAGUACUUGCUUUAUGUGCAUUAAGCAACCAGAAGGACUACUGUACCUUCUUCUGAGCCCUGCACCAUCUGACAUCAACUAACCUCUUACCCAGACUCCACUGUAGCAAGAUCACUGAAGGGCACCAUUCACUCUGCACUACAGAAUCAUGUUUAAGGAGGCCAACUACCUUGAUACACUAACAAGGCAAUGACAGACACUCUCCAAAAAUGAUGUACUUCAUCUUCAUCCUCUAUGCUGGUCCUCUUUCCAAACAAGCAACUGCCAGCCUUAAGGCCAUAACCUAUGCCAUCUCCAUGCCCCAGUUCUGCCUCUAAAUCAUCUGCAGGUUUUGGAGUACGUUCUUUUAGACUUGUUGAUUCCACUUAUCCAGUGACCCUAAAACAAAGUAUAUUCACUAGGUUUGGGAAGAAAACUUUCAACUGCUUUCUUCCCUUUUUCCUUUUUUCCCUUAUCCCCUCUUUCUCCUUUUUCUCUUUUAUUGUCAGACAUUUGAACAAGUUAUCUAUUCACUGUCACUGCAUUUCACCUCAUGCUUGUUCUUCAUCUUUCAUUAUGGAUGCUUUGCUAAGUUAGCUCUUCCUAAUUUCACACAUGAGUUCCAAGUUUCCAAAUUAAAUAUCAUUUUUAUAUUUUCAAUUUGUCAUUCUUAUAUUGACUUCUGAAGACAACAUUUAUUCUUGUGUUCACUCAGUUUAUUCUACUAAUAUUUUUAAACACCUACCUUCAACAAAACAGUAUGGCAAGCAAGGAGAAUAAAGAAAUGAUCAAUAAAUACAUGGUUGAUGUUCUUGUGAUGCAUAUACUUCAUACAGGAGACAAAUAUUAGACAAAUAAUCAUAAAACUAAGUUUAACUAAAAUCCGAGUUAAGUCCUCUAAGGAAAAGAGUCUGGCCUAUAUUUAGACUUGAGGUCACCCUCCCAAAGAAGUCAGUCUUGAGCUGAGAUCUGAAAAAUGAGCAGAACUUUAUCUAAAGACACAGGGACAUGGACACCCUGA
Odocoileus virginianus texanus is the source of this 1663-nucleotide non-coding RNA. NCBI's taxonomy places the organism in Eukaryota, Metazoa, Chordata, Mammalia, Artiodactyla, Cervidae. The record is from RefSeq and is a predicted model, not a curated record.